This 378-nucleotide unclassified non-coding RNA is filed under the name soil metagenome. RNAcentral's name for it is "partial contains 5.8S ribosomal RNA, internal transcribed spacer 2, and large subunit ribosomal RNA". The stretch from base 1 to 120 matches the Rfam family "5.8S ribosomal RNA", at positions 35 to 154 of the family's 154-position model. The record is from RNAcentral.
GAUGAAGAACGUAGCGAAAUGCGAUAAGUAAUGUGAAUUGCAGAAUUCAGUGAAUCAUCGAAUCUUUGAACGCACCUUGCACCCUUUGGCAUUCCGAAGGGUAUGCUCGUUUGAGUGUCAUUGUACUCUCACACUUCCAAUCUUUGGAUUGGGAGCAGUGGACUUGGGUGUUGCUGCUUACUGUGGCUCACCUCAAAUCGAUUCGUGCACCUCUUGGUUGGACAUAGUACGGCGUGAUAAGUGUCUUCGCCGGCACCUCAGUAGAGGGUGGCUGAUCAGGAGCUCUGUGCUUCAAACCGUCCUCGGACAACAACUGACAACUUGACCUCAAAUCGAGUAGGACUACCCGCUGAACUUAAGCAUAUCAUAAGCGGAGGA